Molecule: unclassified non-coding RNA, 288 nt
Filed under: Hevea brasiliensis (rubber tree)
Lineage: Eukaryota; Viridiplantae; Streptophyta; Magnoliopsida; Malpighiales; Euphorbiaceae
Source: RNAcentral
GCCUUUUCCUCUUCUUUUCCCCACUGUAUCAGAGAUUCGAGCUAAACUUUGAAUAAAUUAAAUAAAAAAUGAGCUAGCAAAGCUGAUAUAUCUCCAAAUUCAACGACAUGGAAUAUGGAAUCCAGAUAUAUGAUAGAACAGCACAAUUCACCAAGAAAUGAAAGUGGAAGCAUACCAUUGAAGAAAAUUCAUAAGCUAUAUAAUUUCACAGACGAAAAAAAUAAAAAGAAGCCUUCAUUGAUAUAAAAAUUUUGAACUGACAUACCUGUUCUUUCAUCUCAUCAGAAA